ACUCAAAUGAAUUGACGGGGACCCGCACAACUGGUGGAGCGUGUGGUUUAAUUUGAGACGAAGCAAAAAACCUUACCAGGGUUUGACAUGCUAGCGUUCUAUUCUCUAGAAACAGAGGAAAUCCGUAAGGAGGCUAGCACAGGUGCUGCAUGGCUGUCGUCAGCUCGUGCCGUGAGGUGUUCCCUUAAGUGGGGAAACGAGCGCAACCCGCGUCUAAUGUUACAUAUUCAUUAGAUACAGCCCCGAUCAUAUCGGGGAGGAAGGAGCGGUAGAUGUCAAGUCAGCAUGGUCCUUACACCCUGGGAUACACACACCCUACAAUGGCGAAUAACAAUGAGCAGCAAGCUAGUAAUAGCAAGCAAAUCUCACAAAUUUCGCCUCAGUUCAGAUUGGGGGCUGCAACCCGCCCCCAUGAAGUCGGAAUCAGUAGUAAUCGCGAAUCAGCAGGUCGCGGUGAAUACGUUCUCGGGUCUUGUACACACCGCCCGU
This 489-nucleotide ribosomal RNA is filed under the name uncultured bacterium. RNAcentral's name for it is "partial 16S ribosomal RNA". It matches the Rfam family "Bacterial small subunit ribosomal RNA", at positions 899 to 1397 of the family's 1533-position model. The record is from RNAcentral.